Molecule: ribosomal RNA, 189 nt
Filed under: uncultured bacterium
Lineage: Bacteria
Description: partial 16S ribosomal RNA
Rfam family: Bacterial small subunit ribosomal RNA
Source: RNAcentral
AGGGAGGCAGCAGUGGGGAAUUUUGGACAAUGGGCGCAAGCCUGAUCCAGCAAUGCCGCGUGCAGGAAGAAGGCCUUCGGGUUGUAAACUGCUUUUGUCAGGGAAGAAAUCUUCUGGGUUAAUACCUCGGGAGGAUGACGGUACCUGAAGAAUAAGCACCGGCUAACUACGUGCCAGCAGCCGCGGUAA